CAGCACCUCAAGUGGUCAGGAUGAUUAUUGGGCCUAAAGCAUCCGUAGCCGGCUCUAUAAGUUUUCGGUUAAAUCUGUAUGCUCAACAUACAGGCUGCCGGGAAUACUGCAGAGCUAGGGAGUGGGAGAGGUAGACGGUACUCGGUAGGAAGGGGUAAAAUCCUUUGAUCUAUUGAUGACCACCUGUGGCGAAGGCGGUCUACCAGAACACGUCCGACGGUGAGGGAUGAAAGCUGGGGGAGCAAACCGGAUUAGAUACCCGAGUAGUCC
Molecule: ribosomal RNA, 270 nt
Filed under: uncultured archaeon
Lineage: Archaea
Description: partial 16S ribosomal RNA
Rfam family: Archaeal small subunit ribosomal RNA
Source: RNAcentral